AACGAACGCUGGCGGCAUGCCUAACACAUGCAAGUCGAACGAUACCUUCGGAUCUAGUUGCUCACGGUUGCGUAACGAGUGGGAACCUGCCCUUAGGUUCGCUAUCACGCCCCGGAAGGGGUCCUAAUAACGGGAAAUCUCUUCGCACCAAACAUUGAUCGGUUCUGGACAGGGCCGUGUUAGAUUAGCUAGUUGGUAGAGUAGAAGACUAGCAAGGCUAUGAUCUAUAGCUGGUCUGAGAGGAUGAUCAGCGACACUGGGAGUGAGACACGGCCCAGACUCUUAGGGAAGGACGCAGGGGGGAAUAUGGGACAACGGGCGAGAGAAGAAGCUAGCCAGGUCGCGUGAGUGAUGAAGGAGUUAGGGUUGUAAAGCUGUUUUAAACGGUAUGAUAAUGACAGUACCGGGAGAAUAAGCGCCGGCUAACUCCGUG
Molecule: ribosomal RNA, 433 nt
Filed under: uncultured bacterium
Lineage: Bacteria
Description: partial 16S ribosomal RNA
Rfam family: Bacterial small subunit ribosomal RNA
Source: RNAcentral